AGACCCGAAACCCGGUGAUCUAGCCAUGGGCAGGUUGAAGGUUGGGUAACACUAACUGGAGGACCGAACCGACUAAUGUUGAAAAAUUAGCGGAUGACCUGUGGCUGGGGGUGAAAGGCCAAUCAAACCGGGAGAUAGCUGGUUCUCCCCGAAAGCUAUUUAGGUAGCGCCUCGUGAAUUCAUCUCCGGGGGUAGAGCACUGUUUCGGCUAGGGGGCCAUCCCGGCUUACCAACCCGAUGCAAACUGCGAAUACCGGAGAAUGUUAUCACGGGAGACACACGGCGGGUGCUAACGUCCGUCGUGAAGAGGGAAACAACCCAGACCGCCAGCUAAGGUCCCAAAGUCAUGGUUAAGUGGGAAACGAUGUGGGAAGGCCCAGACAGCCAGGAUGUUGGCUUAGAAGCAGCCAUCAUUUAAAGAAAGCGUAAUAGCUCACUGGUCGAGUCGGCCUGCGCGGAAGAUGUAACGGGGCUAAACCAUGCACCGAAGCUGCGGCAGCGACACUGUGUGUUGUUGGGUAGGGGAGCGUUCUGUAAGCC
This 540-nucleotide ribosomal RNA is filed under the name Salmonella enterica. RNAcentral's name for it is "partial 23S ribosomal RNA". It matches the Rfam family "Bacterial large subunit ribosomal RNA", at positions 711 to 1249 of the family's 2925-position model. The record is from RNAcentral. Lineage: Bacteria; Pseudomonadati; Pseudomonadota; Gammaproteobacteria; Enterobacterales; Enterobacteriaceae. RNAcentral also lists the same sequence under 5 other names.